This 464-nucleotide ribosomal RNA is filed under the name uncultured bacterium. RNAcentral's name for it is "partial 16S ribosomal RNA". It matches the Rfam family "Bacterial small subunit ribosomal RNA", at positions 28 to 507 of the family's 1533-position model. The record is from RNAcentral.
GACGAACGCUGGCGGCGUGCUUAACACAUGCAAGUCGAACGGAAAGGCCCUGCUUGUAGGGUGUUCGCGAGGCGAAAGCGUGUGUAACACGCGGGAGUAACCUGCCCUACACCUGGGUAUACCUUCGGAAAUCGGGGUCUAAUCGCGGAUAAGCGCUCCUGCUGCAGGGGGGUGGAUGGAUUUUUCGGUGGGGGAUGGACUCGCGGCCUAUCAGCUUGUUGGUGGGGUAGUGGCUUACCAAGGCUGUGACGGGUAGCCGGCCUGAGAGGGUGGGCGGCCACAUUGGGACUGAGAUACGGCCCAGACUCCUACGGGAGGCAGCAGUGGGGAAUAUUGCACAAUGGGCGGAAGCCUGAUGCAGCAACGCCGCGUGCGGGAUGACGGCCUUCGGGUUGUAAACCGCUUUCGCCUGGGACGAAGCGUUAGUGAACGUAACGGGUAAAGAAGGACCGGCUAACUACGGU